CCCUUAGAUGUUCUGGGCCGCACGCGCGCUACACUGAUUCAUGCAACAAGUUUUGUCCUUGGCUGAUAGGCCUGGGUAAUCUUUGAACGUGAAUCGUGAUGGGGAUAGAUGAUUGCAAUUAUUCAUCUUCAACGAGGAAUUCCUAGUAAACGCAAGUCAUCAGCUUGCAUUGAUUACGUCCCUGCCCUUUGUACACACCGCCCGUCGCACCUACCGAUUGACUGGUCCGGUGAAAUCUUCGGAUCUGAGAGAUGUCUGAUUAAUUUCGGACGCCUUUUGGAAAAGUUGCUUAAACCUUACCAUUUAGAGGAAGGUGAAGUCGUAACA
This 327-nucleotide ribosomal RNA is filed under the name uncultured eukaryote. RNAcentral describes it as "partial 18S ribosomal RNA". It matches the Rfam family "Eukaryotic small subunit ribosomal RNA", at positions 1470 to 1796 of the family's 1831-position model. The record is from RNAcentral.